GACGAACGCUGGCGGCGUGCCUAAUACAUGCAAGUUGAGCGCUGAAGGUUGGUACUUGUACCAACUGGAUGAGCAGCGAACGGGUGAGUAACGCGUGGGGAAUCUGCCUUUGAGCGGGGGACAACAUUUGGAAACGAAUGCUAAUACCGCAUAAAAACUUUAAACACAAGUUUUAAGUUUGAAAGAUGCAAUUGCAUCACUCAAAGAUGAUCCCGCGUUGUAUUAGCUAGUUGGUGAGGUAAAGGCUCACCAAGGCGAUGAUACAUAGCCGACCUGAGAGGGUGAUCGGCCACAUUGGGACUGAGACACGGCCCAAACGCCUACGGGAGGCAGCAGUAGGGAAUCUUCGGCAAGGGACGAAAGUCUGACCGAGCAACGCGGCGUGAGUGAAGAAGGUUUUCGGAUCGUAAAACUCUGUUGGUAGAGAAGAACGUUGGUGAGAGUGGAAAGCUCAUCAAGUGACGGUAACUACUCAGAAAGGGACGGCUAACUACGUG
Molecule: ribosomal RNA, 497 nt
Filed under: uncultured bacterium
Lineage: Bacteria
Description: partial 16S ribosomal RNA
Rfam family: Bacterial small subunit ribosomal RNA
Source: RNAcentral